RNAcentral lists this ribosomal RNA (1604 nucleotides) under Exophiala salmonis. RNAcentral's name for it is "eukaryotic LSU rRNA". The stretch from base 677 to 1604 matches the Rfam family "Eukaryotic large subunit ribosomal RNA", at positions 1 to 943 of the family's 3401-position model. The record is from RNAcentral. Lineage: Eukaryota; Fungi; Ascomycota; Eurotiomycetes; Chaetothyriales; Herpotrichiellaceae.
UACUACCGAUUGAAUGGCUCAGUGAGGCCUUGGGACUGGCUCAGAGAGGUCGGCAACGACCACUCAGAGCCGGAAACUUGGUCAAACUUGGUCAUUUAGAGGAAGUAAAAGUCGUAACAAGGAUCAUUAACGAGUUAGGGUUCCCUCUGGGCCCGACCUCCCAACCCUUUGUCUACUUGACCAUCGUUGCUUCGGCGAGCCCGUCCUCACGGACCGCCGGAGGGACCUUCAUUGGCCCUCUGGUCCGCGCUCGUCGGUGGCCCAACCUUUUUAAAAUCUUUAACCAAACGUGCCUCAAUCUAAGUACUAUUUGUUAAAUAAAAGCAAAACUUUCAACAACGGAUCUCUUGGUUCUGGCAUCGAUGAAGAACGCAGCGAAAUGCGAUAAGUAAUGCGAAUUGCAGAAUUCCAGUGAGUCAUCGAAUCUUUGAACGCACAUUGCGCCCUUUGGUAUUCCGAAGGGCAUGCCUGUUCGAGCGUCAUUAUCACCCCUCAAGCCCCCGGCUUGGUGUUGGACGGUUUGGUGGAGGCCCCUUGCGGGCAUCUGCCCCUCCCAAAGACAAUGACGGCGGCCUCGUUGGACCCCCGGUACACUGAGUUCUUCACGGGACACGUAUCGGACACACGGGUUUACGGGGCACGGUCUGCCUCCCCUCAGGGAGAAUCUUUCUAAGGUUGACCUCGGAUCAGGUAGGGAUACCCGCUGAACUUAAGCAUAUCAAUAAGCGGAGGAAAAGAAACCAACAGGGAUUGCCUCAGUAACGGCGAGUGAAGCGGCAACAGCUCAAAUUUGAAAUCUGGCCUCUUUGGGGUCCGAGUUGUAAUUUGUAGAGGAUGUUUCGGGUACCGCCUCGGUUUAAAUUUCUUGGAACAGAAUGUCAGAGAGGGUGAGAAUCCCGUCUUGGACCGGCGGUAGGGCCCAUGUGAAACUCCUUCGACGAGUCGAGUUGUUUGGGAAUGCAGCUCAAAAUGGGUGGUAAAUUUCAUCUAAAGCUAAAUAUUGGCCAGAGACCGAUAGCGCACAAGUAGAGUGAUCGAAAGAUGAAAAGCACUUUGAAAAGAGAGUUAAACAGUAUGUGAAAUUGUUGAAAGGGAAGCGCUUACAACCAGACUUGCGCGCGGCGGUUCCCCCUUCCUUUUGGUUGGGCUACUCCGUCGUGUCCAGGCCAACAUCGGUUCUGGGGGUCGGUUAAAGACCCUGGGAAUGUAUCUACCCUUCGGGCGUAGACUUAUAGCUCAGGGUGUCAUGCGACCUCCCGGGACCGAGGAACGCGCUUCGGCUCGGAUGUUGGCGUAAUGGUUGUCAGCGACCCGUCUUGAAACACGGACCAAGGAGUCUAACAUCUAUGCGAGUGUUUGGGUGUCAAACCCGGAACGCGAAAUGAAAGUGAACGGAGGUAGGAAGCCUUGAGGCUGCACUAUCGACCGAUCCUGAUGUCUUCGGAUGGAUUUGAGUAAGAGCAUAGCUGUUGGGACCCGAAAGAUGGUGAACUAUGCCUGAAUAGGGUGAAGCCAGAGGAAACUCUGGUGGAGGCUCGCAGCGGUUCUGACGUGCAAAUCGAUCGUCAAAUUUGGGUAUAGGGGCGAAAGACUAAUCGAACCAU